This 468-nucleotide ribosomal RNA is filed under the name uncultured bacterium. RNAcentral describes it as "partial 16S ribosomal RNA". It matches the Rfam family "Bacterial small subunit ribosomal RNA", at positions 28 to 507 of the family's 1533-position model. The record is from RNAcentral.
GACGAACGCUGGCGGCGUGCUUAACACAUGCAAGUCGAACGGAAAGGCCCUGCUUUUGUGGGGUGCUCGAGUGGCGAACGGGUGAGUAACACGUGAGUAACCUGCCCUUGACUUUGGGAUAACUUCUGGAAACUUGGGCUAAUACCGGAUAGGAGCUCCUGCUGCUUGGUGGUGGUUGGAAAGUUUCGGCGGUUGGGGAUGGACUCGCGGCUUAUCAGCUUGUUUGUGGGGUAGUGGCUUACCAAGGCUUUGACGGGUAGCCGGCCUGAGAGGGUGACCGGCAAAAUUGGGAAUGAGAGACGGACCAGAAUACAACGGGAGGCAGCAGUGGGGAAUAGUGCACAAUGGGCGGAAGCCUGAUGCAGAAACGCCGCGUGCGGGAUGACGGCCUUCGGGUUGUAAACCGCUUUCGCCUGUGACGAAGCGUGAGUGACGGUAAUGGGUAAAGAAGCACCGGCUAACUACGUG